Molecule: long non-coding RNA, 402 nt
Organism: Cyprinus carpio (common carp)
Lineage: Eukaryota; Metazoa; Chordata; Actinopteri; Cypriniformes; Cyprinidae
Source: Ensembl
AUGCCUCUAAUCCCGAUAACGGACCUGUCCUACUCCACGUACUCUGUGGAGACGGAGCUGAUCCCAGGUAUCGACCUCUUCUCUGAGCCAGAUCGGAGGAAUCUUUGCACCACUGUUGCCAGUUUGUCUUUUCUCUGCCACUGGCUGUAUACCUCAGGACACCUUCUCAAGGUUCUUCAUGUACUGGCUCUGUACCUGUAUAUUACCGGAAACGUGUGUCGGGAUCGACACCUCACUGUCAUGUGCAGAAUACUGAAGGUAAAGGUAUUUACAGAGUUGGGGGCCUUCACUCAGGCAUUUAAAGAACUCAGCAGUCUCACAAUUAGCAGGGAAAUCCCUGUACCUCAUGCAGGCCACCACAGAGCAGAGAAGCCAUGUUGGGUAAAGCAGCCUAACCAAUAA